GUGAGGAAUAUUGCGCAAUGGAGGCAACUCUGACGCAGCCAUGCCGCGUGCAGGAAGAAGGCGCUACGCGUUGUAAACUGCUUUUAACCGGGAAGAAACCCCAGGACGUGUCCUGGGUUGACGGUACCGGAGGAAUAAGCACCGGCUAACUUCGUGCCAGCAGCCGCGGUAAUACGAUGGGUGCAAGCGUUAUCCGGAUUCAUUGGGUUUAAAGGGUGCGUAGGCGGAGCGUUAAGUCAGUGGUGAAAUCCUGCAGCUUAACUGUAGACUUGCCAUUGAUACUGGCGCUCUUGAGUGCGCUUGAAGUGGGCGGAAUGUGCCGUGUAGCGGUGAAAUGCUUAGAUAUGGCACAGAACACCAAUUGCGAAGGCAGCUCACUAAGGCGAUACUGACGCUGAGGCACGAAAGCGUGGGGAUCGAACAGGAUUAGAAACCCGUGUAGUCC
This 445-nucleotide ribosomal RNA is filed under the name uncultured bacterium. RNAcentral describes it as "partial 16S ribosomal RNA". It matches the Rfam family "Bacterial small subunit ribosomal RNA", at positions 354 to 796 of the family's 1533-position model. The record is from RNAcentral.